Ceratina calcarata is the source of this 1814-nucleotide long non-coding RNA. RefSeq lists it as uncharacterized. The record is from RefSeq and is a predicted model, not a curated record. The transcript is spliced from 3 exons. NCBI's taxonomy places the organism in Eukaryota, Metazoa, Arthropoda, Insecta, Hymenoptera, Apidae.
GCUGGAUACGGUCCGUGAGUCGAGUCGAAUUUGAAUAAGUAUAUCAUAUAAUCGGUCGUUAUGUGUGGAUCGUUGAUAUGUUUAACCUAAUUAAAUACAGUUAUUCUAUUGCUAGAUACAAGAAAAUAAGAACGGACAUUUGAAAUAAUUAAUUAGCUACCAUAACACCCUUUUCGAUGCAGGCACGGAGACACAUUCUCCCUAUUCUACCGAAUCCGUUAAUUCCUACAACUGCCAUAACUCCAAAAUCGAAUUGUUAAUAAAAUUUAAUACCCGAUUCUGUCAAUUUUUGACGUUUCAUACAACAUUUAUGUUGUAUUACUGGUAUUUUAAUUCUCGCAAACGUCAGAAAAUCAAUAGCGCGAAUUUGUAUGCAAAAUUCUCGAAGUAUGAUAUUUAACAAUGCGAUAUGAUAAUAAUAAGGCAAAUUAUAAUUGUACGGAAUGAUAUUAAAUAAAUAAGAAUUUCGUAUGAGGAUUAGAGUAAUCCUUAUACGAACGCGAGUGUCGAGUACUUACAAUGUUAUUAUUUCUUCUGAUACGAUGAUCUAUUAUUAAUAUAUUACACUUCUUACAAGAAUGAACUAUAUAGCUUGAUAUUGAACAGUAAAUAUGAAUGUCCUUAAUGGAUGGAGCCUAUCUUGCUAUAUCAUUCGGUGAACAGUUCUAUCUCUACAGUCGAGGGAGUUAAUUCAAACGGAAAGGAAGAGUUAUCGAAAUGAACAUUAAUAUCGAUUACGAGAAUAAUACCUAUUUAAAAGAGUUUGAAGAAAGCAAUAAGUAAUAUGUUAAUAACGCGAACUAUAUAAAUUGAUACUGGCAUCAAAAAGCAAUGACUGUAAUAAUAGAAAGCAAACACUUCCAACGUGAAAUGAUCAAGAGCAACGAUUUUACAACUUACUGCCCGAAAAUGGAUACUAUUAAUUUAGAUAUAGCAUUCUAUAUUAUCGUGGAAACAUUACGAGAUAUCAAUUUUAUAAUGCGUGCGAAACGAAUAUGGUAUAAACGAGCAGAUAUCGAAUUUAUUCAAAUUAUUACGGAUAAAGAGUGAUCGGUAAUAUUUAUUUCUCAAAUGUAAAAAGGUACAUACUAGUGUCGGACAAUAAUUAAUAUCAUUAGAAAUUGAUAAAUAUCAUUUGAAUACGGAAGAAUUAUAAUAAGCCGUAAUUCAUUUCGUACAUCAUAUAAAUUACGUUAUAUUUCAAUGAUUUGAUUAGAGACGUCGAGCAUGUAUUUAAAUUUAUAUUAUGGGAGAUAGAUAUAUGUUUGACGAAAAUUCAUUUCUGAACGUUGCAAACCAUAUUUUAUGCUCUACAAUUCUUUAAUUAUGCGAAAUCGGUCAACUCAUACUGGUCCUACGUUUUUCGAUGAUGUAUCUUUCUAAAUAGGACGAACGUUUCUCUACCCGUGAAAUACGUAAUUAUAACAAAUACUCGGAAAGUAGAUAUUCCAAAAUGAUAUGUUUGACUGCUACGUACGAAAGAUCCGUAGCUAAUUUACGUUUAGUUAAAUUUGUUCAUUUUUAAUGCACGGCGAUUGAUUCAUGCGAUGUAUUCGGCGUAGGUUGUAGGUAAUCAGAUAAUUUUGCGUUCAAGGGAAAAUUGUUAAGAUAUAUAUAUAUGUACAUUUAUGUAUAAAGAUCUCGGUACGGUCUUUUACUAAUCGUUAUAUUGGUAAUUGCAAGUCAUUUCUAAGUCAGGUGUCCUUCUCGUCAUUAUUGUUGUAAUGGCGAGUGCUUUUUCGAGGAUACUCUGGCAGGAAAUUGGCUUCGCAAAAACCAUAAAAAAACCGACGUCUGUCGCACAAAUAUUUCGU